Acanthosepion pharaonis is the source of this 109-nucleotide non-coding RNA. The record is from the annotation of a GenBank genome assembly. Lineage: Eukaryota; Metazoa; Mollusca; Cephalopoda; Sepiida; Sepiidae.
UUACGGCCAUAUCACGUUGAAACAGUGGUUCUCGUACGAUCACCGAAAUUAAGCAAAGUCGAGUCUGGCAAGUACUUAGAUGGAUGACUGCUUGGGAAUACCAUGUGCU